This 842-nucleotide long non-coding RNA is filed under the name Neodiprion pinetum (white pine sawfly). Its description in RNAcentral is "uncharacterized LOC124211849". Lineage: Eukaryota; Metazoa; Arthropoda; Insecta; Hymenoptera; Diprionidae. The record is from RNAcentral.
AAAAGGUCGGGACAUCGGGGUGAAGAAGAACGAGAUGCAAAUCGCUCGGGGUUUCUUUUUCGGAGGGUCGACGGAGGUCAAGACGGUGCCGAAGACACGCGCUGUAUCGGACACUUCCUGACCCUCUGGUACCGGAGGCAUGACGUCGGGAUAAGGAAUUGUUAAUUCCGUGACACCGGAGCAUCUGGAUACCAACCGCAGAGGACACCUGGACUUCCGGCGCUGCCUGUUUCCGUGUUCUCGUAUUCUUGGCCUGCAGCUAAUUAAAAUUCUGGAGAAUGAAAGCGUGGGCUCCUCGCCCCGCGUCCUUUGAAACAAAACAAUCCCUGGAUGCCUCCGUGAAAGAAAACGUAUUCACGGCCCAUUGACUGAGGGGGGGAAGCUGGGGGAUGACAGGGUCGUGCGAAAAGGGAAACCCGACUUUCCCGUAUAAGCUGUAACUCCGAAAGUACGGUCACUCCGGUUCUCUCUACUCUACACCGUCCUGUGGAACGUGAUCGGAAUGUGGAGAUGAAAGAGAGAUGAAAAAAAACGCAAAAAAAAAAAAUAAUAAAAAUAUACACAGCUUGUCACCUUGUACAAACGGACAGCCCGAGGUUAACGAGGUUCGAAAAUGUCUCGUCUUGACCCUCUCGAGGAGUAUCAAAUAUCGGAGACCUCAACUCCGGGUGACUACAGGAUACGUAUAAAGAACAGUGUAUGCCUAUGUAACACAGAUAUGGAGAGAUCUGAUAGCUGGGAAAAUUUUUUCAAGGCACGGGGUGGAUUUAAUAUUGGAAUUGGUUUUUCAAACGUCGUUCGAGUGCGAUAAAUAAAAUUACUUCGGCUUUCAGCGAUUUGCU